GUGGGGAAUAUUGGACAAUGGGCGAAAGCCUGAUCCAGCCAUGCCGCGUGUGUGAAGAAGGUCUUCGGAUUGUAAAGCACUUUAAGUUGGGAGGAAGGGCAGUAAGUUAAUACCUUGCUGUUUUGACGUUACCGACAGAAUAAGCACCGGCUAACUUCGUGCGAGCAGCCGCGGUAAUACGAAGGGUGCAAGCGUUAAUCGGAAUUACUGGGCGUAAAGCGCGCGUAGGUGGUUUUGUAAGUUGGAGGUGAAAUCCCCGGGCUCAACCUGGGAACUGCCUCCAAAACUGCAUGACUAGAGUACGGUAGAGGGUAGUGGAAUUUCCUGUGUAGCGGUGAAAUGCGUAGAUAUAGGAAGGAACACCAGUGGCGAAGGCGACUACCUGGACUGAUACUGACACUGAGGUGCGAAAGCGUGGGGAGCAAACAGGAUUAGAUACCCGAGUAGUCC
Molecule: ribosomal RNA, 450 nt
Filed under: uncultured bacterium
Lineage: Bacteria
Description: partial 16S ribosomal RNA
Rfam family: Bacterial small subunit ribosomal RNA
Source: RNAcentral